AGGGCACUGGGCCAGGAAGGAGGCAGAAGCCUGCAGGAGAGGCCUGUGGAGGGGCUUCGGGCCUCAGACAAGCCCCUCUCUGGUGUCCUUGGAGCCCAGGAUACCUGGCUGGUAAGGCUUCUAACUCUGGGUAUGACCUGGCCUAGCGCUGCCAGCUCUGGCCUUCAGGCUCCUUGUGGGGCAGGGACAGGAGUUGCUCCUAGAUCAGAGGUUCACAAAGUUGGUCCCUGAACCAGCAGCAUCAGCAGCACCUGGGAACUUGAGAGAAGUGCAGAUCCUUGGCUCCCCACUACAGAUCUACUACGUCGGAAACCUUGGGGUGCAGCCCAGUGAUCUGUGUUUAACAAGCCCUCCAGGCAAUUCUGAUGCAUGCUCAAGUUUGAGGACCACUGCAUGCAAUAAUCUGUGGGCCAAUAUCAAACCCAUAUCUUCUAUAAAGAGUCAUUCAACAAAGUGAGAUCUAAGGCUUAAGUAGUGCUCACUGUGUGCCAGGUACUCAGCUGACUGCUUUGUGUAUGCUAACUCAUUUAAUCCUCAAGCCAACCCAUUGAGGUCAGGUUCUAUGAUCAUUUCUCCAUUUUACAGGUGAUAUAAAUGCUGUUUUCACCAGAAGCCACAGUUCUGGGAUCUCAGAAGUGAUGGAUGAUCCUAGGCCCAACUCAGAGAUUGGCCCAUGCUGGCUAACUAGUAUGGUAGCUGGCUGGACAUUCCCUGGGUAAUUUUCUUAAAAUGCCCUUCAGAAGCUGUCCUGCCACCUAAAAGGUGGAGCAGUGGGGAGAACCCUCACUCCAGAACUAGAGAAUCAGGCAAGUGGAGUGAGAGAAGCAAGAAGAGGCCUGAAGGAAGUGAGGCCUGAGAGGGAUGCAGGGUCCCAUAAAGAACUGUUUCUCCAAAUGUGGUGCCUGGACCAGCAGCAUCAACAAUGCCUGGGAGCCUAUUAGAAAUGCAGAAUCGUGGACCCUACUCAAGACUUACUGAAUCUGAAUCUGCAUGUUAAUAAGAUCCCCAGGGAUUUGUGAGCACAUUCAAGUUCAAGAAGUCCUGGAUGAGGCACACGGGUAGAUCCCUGACCCCUUCCCACUACAGGAUAAUGGGGAUCUGGGAUCUGCACCAUGCUCAGUCCAGCUCUGUGGGGGCUCUGGCUCUCUCAUUGGCACAAGCAUCCCCUCAGUUAACCCUGGAACUUGAGGUCACUGGAGGAGGCCUCCAGUCCUUAAAACCCCACAGCCAAACUAGUACAAUGAGUGAGAUGCUCUCACCCUGCUGAGUCGCCACUUCCCAAGGUGGAGGAUCUUCACUUCCUUUGUUUCUUUUCCUAGAAUGUGGGCUCUGCGUUCUAACCCAGGCUCCGCCACUUACUGACUGUGAUCCUGGAAGUUGCUAAACUUCUCUGCACCUUGGUUUUCCUUUUCUGUAAUAUAGAGGUGACACAUUUUCUAGAUCAUAGCUUUUUUUGGUGCAUAUAUCUAAGCAAAUAUAUACAUCAUGCUUAGAAGAGUGGUUGGCACACACCGCCAUUAACAUUCGUCACUUGCUAUGAGCCUUCCAUCUUUCCCUCUUCUGGGUGGCCCUUGGGCUGGGGUGGGAUGAAGGGAAGGUGGUGCUUACCUGUGAGGAGUCAAGGAAAGCAGUGCAAAGGCAGGGAUACUGGACUGGAGGUGACUCCUGUAGGGGGAAGAAGGAAAUGUGUUUGUAUGACACUGGGGUAUGCCAGGCUCAGUGCCAGGCACUUUCUUCCCUUCCACAGUUACACCAGAAUAGUGCUGUUAUUUUAUAAUCCUACAGAUGGGGACUGAAGUCCCAGAAGGGCAGUGACCAGGCCAAGGUAUUGCAGUUAGUGAGGGGUGGAGCUAGUGCUUGAUGG
RNAcentral lists this long non-coding RNA (1864 nucleotides) under Homo sapiens (human). RNAcentral's name for it is "non-protein coding lnc-SMAD6-4:2". Lineage: Eukaryota; Metazoa; Chordata; Mammalia; Primates; Hominidae. The record is from RNAcentral.